CUAUUUUACUGUAUGUUUCUGGUGAACUGCAGUUGCUUCAAUAUUAUUGCUUCAACGAUUAAAUGCUGGAAACUAUAAGGGGGAGUGCCUUUAAAAACAUCAAAUAAGUGUUUUUAAAGUGUUUUAAUGCACGUUAACCCCUUCGGGCUUUAUCUUUUCCAAGAAGGAAAAAACAAGGCAGUGUUUAGUGACCUCGUUGGUAAAGUAGAAGUUACAUAACGUACUCCGUCACGCUCUGAAUGGUUGACGAAGGCUUGAGGUUGAAAUAUUACUCAACUACAAUGCUUAAUCUGCAUGUUGUGACAGACAGAUAGGGAGGGAAGAGGCCGUUUUUUUCAAAGCUAUUAGUAAAUUACAAUCAUACUCAACUUGAGUUUACUUACUGAAACAUGCAGAGACUCAUACUAGCAUACUAGCAAUUACUAUAUAUGUGUCACAGUGAGCUUUAUAUAUUUACUAGGUAUGUGUGGUUUUUUUUUAUUUUUUUUAAAGGGAUGCCAAAUGCUGUCAUUUUUCUGUAAAGCAAAUUUACCUUGCCUUUGAGUAUAAAUAAAGUUACCUUGAACCUUGAACAUUUUGAUGGUAGAAAUUUUACUUCAUUUUAUUUCCAGACAGUUUGGUCAAAAAGGAUUUGAUUGCCAAAGGUUGCAAAGUUCCUACCAAACUGGUUGAAGUUGAAAACAGGCUACUGAAAGAGCCUCUUUAAUACAUGUAAUAAAAGCAAAUUCAAGUUCUUUUAGUUUUACAACUUUAGUCCCUGAAGUUUCACCUUGAACUGAAGUUAACUAUUAAAAUGAUUUAUAAAGCUCAUACUGAGUGAUACCUUUGGAACCAAGUUUUUGUAUCAUUGACUUUACUAUCAGUCUGCUUGUGUUUAUGAUGAGAAUGAAAGGCUGUUUUGACCUUUUGAAACUAUUGCUCAAGUGUCUUGGGAUACGAUUAUCUCAGUUAUGGUUUUACCUUUAGACUGUAUUGCAUACAAUUGCUUUGAUAGACCUUGCUUCAGUGUGUAUGUGUGUGUGUGUCUGUGUGUUCCUCUAUGCAUGCGUACGUGCCUUACGUGUAUAGUGCUCAGAAUCAGGUGACUUGGGUAAGGUCAGUUUUGACAGUAACAGCCAUGGUUGAUCAAUAACUAUUUCACAGAAAGCAGUGGUUAUGUUAGCCAUGUGUGUGUGUUGCAGUUCAAAUGACUGUAACAGGCUUAAAGACAUCGUGAAACGAAGAGUCAAACAAACACAGAAGAAAUAAUUGAACGGAUUAAUUACUAUGACUUAAAAUGCUUCCAGGAAAAG
Long non-coding RNA from Astatotilapia calliptera (eastern happy), 1292 nucleotides. NCBI's taxonomy places the organism in Eukaryota, Metazoa, Chordata, Actinopteri, Cichliformes, Cichlidae. The record is from Ensembl.